UCUGAGUGCUUGCACUUGGAUGGACUGAGUGGCGGACGGGUGAGUAACGCGUGGGUAACCUGCCUUAUACAGGGGGAUAACAGUUGGAAACGACUGCUAAUACCGCAUAAGCGCACGGUAUCGCAUGAUACAGUGUGAAAAACUCCGGUGGUAUGAGAUGGACCCGCGUCUGAUUAGGUAGUUGGUGGGGUAACGGCCCACCAAAGCGACGAUCAGUAGCCGGCCUGAGAGGGUGAACGGCCACAUUGGGACUGAGAUACGGCCCAGACUCC
This 272-nucleotide ribosomal RNA is filed under the name uncultured Lachnospiraceae bacterium. RNAcentral describes it as "partial 16S ribosomal RNA". It matches the Rfam family "Bacterial small subunit ribosomal RNA", at positions 71 to 339 of the family's 1533-position model. The record is from RNAcentral. Lineage: Bacteria; Bacillati; Bacillota; Clostridia; Lachnospirales; Lachnospiraceae.